AUUGAACGCUGGCGGCAUGCCUUACACAUGCAAGUCGAACGGUAACGCGGGGCAACCUGGCGACGAGUGGCGAACGGGUGAGUAAUAUAUCGGAACGUGCCCAGUCGUGGGGGAUAACUGCUCGAAAGAGCAGCUAAUACCGCAUACGACCUGAGGGUGAAAGCGGGGGAUCUUCGGACCUCGCGCGAUUGGAGCGGCCGAUAUCAGAUUAGGUAGUUGGUGGGGUAAAGGCCUACCAAGCCGACGAUCUGUAGCUGGUCUGAGAGGACGACCAGCCACACUGGGACUGAGAUACGGCCCAGACUCCUACGGGAGGCAGCCAGUGGGAAUAUUGCGCAAUGGGCGAAAGCCUGACGCAGCAACGCCGCGUGC
Molecule: ribosomal RNA, 372 nt
Filed under: uncultured bacterium
Lineage: Bacteria
Description: bacterial SSU rRNA
Rfam family: Bacterial small subunit ribosomal RNA
Source: RNAcentral